Long non-coding RNA from Epinephelus fuscoguttatus (brown-marbled grouper), 425 nucleotides. RefSeq lists it as uncharacterized. NCBI's taxonomy places the organism in Eukaryota, Metazoa, Chordata, Actinopteri, Perciformes, Serranidae. The record is from RefSeq and is a predicted model, not a curated record. The transcript is spliced from 4 exons.
AUGCUAAUGAGGUGACAUGUGCUCCUGUAACUGUAUAUAAGAAAAGCCCAACAUUCAGAGCAGCACUACAACAACCUCCUCGACCAUCUGCGAGACACUCUGCUCAAGACUAAAAGGUGUGAUCACUGUAACCAUGCUGAAGGUAGCACUUGUGCUUGGAUGCCUCCUGAGCCUCGCUCUGGCUCAUCCUGUGGAGCGCAAACGAGUUGCUCGGUCUAGCUCUAACUCUGGCUCGUAUUCUCAUGAGGUUUUCAGACCAUGGCCUAGGCCAGUGCCAGUGCCUAGGCCUGUGCCUAGGCCAGUGCCAAUUCCAGUGCCAGUGCCUAGGCCUGUGCCUAAGCCAGUGCCAAUUCCAGUGCCAGUGCCUAGGCCAGUGCCACUGCCAAUACCUGUGCCAGUGCCGGCCCCGGCCCCCCCUGCCCCCC